Molecule: ribosomal RNA, 1702 nt
Filed under: Anomalochrysa hepatica
Lineage: Eukaryota; Metazoa; Arthropoda; Insecta; Neuroptera; Chrysopidae
Description: SSU rRNA
Rfam family: Eukaryotic small subunit ribosomal RNA
Source: RNAcentral
AAUUACCCACUCCCGGCACGGGGAGGUAGUGACGAAAAAUAACGAUACGGGACUCAUCGAGGCCUCGUAAUCGGAAUGAGUACACUUUAAAUCCUUUAACGAGGAUCAAUUGGAGGGCAWGUCUGGUGCCMGCAGCCGCGGUAAUUCCAGCUCCAAUAGYGUAUAUYAAAGUUGUUGCGGUUAAAAAGCUCGUWGUCSAAUUUGUAUUAMUAUAUAUGAAAAAUASAAUAUGAAAGAGAAAUGUAUGCAUAUGUAUAUUUUUUUAAUUUCUUUUCUAUAAAUUUAUAUAAUAUUAAUAUUAAUAUCGGUUAAAAUCUUAUUACAAUGGUAUAAGUAAAAUGAUUAAUUUCAUUUUUCUUUAUUAUUACUGUUGAUAAUAAGCCGAUAUAGUUUACUUUGAACAAAUUAGAGUGCUUAAAGCAGGCAAAAAUUUUGAAUGCCUAUAUAUUUCUGCAUGGAAUAAUGGAAUAGGAUCACGGUUCUAUUUUCAUUGGUUUACGGAAUGUUUACUUUGAACAAAUUAGAGUGCUUAAAGCAGGCAAAAAUUUUGAAUGCCUAUAUAUUUCUGCAUGGAAUAAUGGAAUAGGAUCACGGUUCUAUUUUCAUUGGUUUACGGAAUAUCCGUGAUAAUGAUAAAUACGGACAGAUGGGGGCAUUUGUAUUGUAACGUUAGAGGUGAAAUUCUUGGAUCGUUACAAGACAAACAAAAGCGAAAGCAUUUGCCAAUAAUGUUUUGAUUGAUCAAGAACGAAAGUUAGAGGUUCGAAGGCGAUUAGAUACCGCCCUAGUUCUAACCAUAAACGAUGCCAGCKAGCUAUCUGUUGAAGGUUACUACCCUUUGACCUCAAUAGGCAGCUUCCGGGAAACCAAAGCUUUUGGGCUCCGGGGGAAGUAUGGUUGCAAAGCUGAAACUUAAAGGAAUUGACGGAAGGGCACCACCAGGAGUGGAGCCUGCGGCUUAAUUUGACUCAACACGGGAAACCUCACCAGGCCCGGACACCGGAAGGAUUGACAGAUUGAGAGCUCUUUCUUGAUUCGGUGGGUGGUGGUGCAUGGCCGUUUUUAGUUGGUGGAGCGAUUUGUCUGGUUAAUUCCGAUAACGAACGAGACUCUACCCUGCUAAAUAGACGUACUUUACCGGCAUCUCAAGGCCCAUCGGCUGUUUGUUUCCCAUUUCAUUCAUUUUCAUGUGUGUUAUGUAUUGUAUUUUUAUAUGCAUGUAUUUUUGAGAUUUAACGAUCWAGAUUAUAUUUUGUAUAUAUUGUGCUUUAUGUUGCAUAWGUUAUGGUGUAUGGGUUCGCAGUUUUUUGAUGUGGWUUUUACUGCCGGCGUACAAAUAAUUCUUCUUAGAGGGACAGGCGGCMUUCUAGCCGCACGAGAUUGAGCAAUAACAGGUCUGUGAUGCCCUUASAUGUUCUGGGCCGCACGCGCGCUACACUGAAGGAAUCAGCGUGUCCUCCCAGGCCGAAAGGUCCGGGUAACCCGCUGAACCUCCUUCGUGCUAGGGAUUGGGGCUUGCAAUUGUUCCCCAUGAAMGAGGAAUUCCCAGUAAGCGCGAGUCAUAAACUCGCGUUGAUUACGUCCCUGCCCUUUGUACACACCGCCCGUCGCUACUACCGAUUGAAUGAUUUAGUGAGGUCUUCGGACUGGUACGCGGCAAUAUUUCURAUAUUGCCGAUGUUGCUGGGAAGAUGAACAAACU